GAAAAUUGUUGAGCCUGCGUGGGGUGAGGCUCUCGGGAAUGUGACCUUUGAUGUGAGCCGGUGACUUAAGGCAGUCCAGGGUGAGAUAAGACACGGAUGAAACCAUACGUGCCCUGGCUGACCUUUUAGAUGUUGUUGAUUGUCUGGGUCCAUAAAGGGAGGGUCACCCCUACAUCAUUUGGUACUUUUCCAACACUCCUCUUUGAGGGGUGGGCUGUCCUGUCCUGAGGCACCACAAACCUCUCUGAAGUGUAUAUAAGCUCCUGUUCUCCUCUUCAACUUUGUCAGAUCUUCCUGCUCCUUUUGGGGGAAGGAACCUCUGUCCCUUUUCAGCUGAAUUGUAGUCAUUUGACUUCUGUCUGUGCUUACGACUUGUGCUGAUGAUUUCUGUAUUCUUUAUCUUUUUUCUAUAUUCUAGUUAGUAAUAAAUACUUAAUCACAAAGCAAGCUCAAGAUACUUUUGAUUUCUCACAUGGGCUAAAUCCACAAAUUUCCACCACAAACUUGGCGACGAGGAUGGGAUGGACGCGUGAUCUGGACUCUGACGGACGGACAGGAGGCCAUAUAGUAUAGGUGAUUCCUCCCUGAGGGUGAGAAGCUGCCGUCCCGACGAGACCCGGAUUGCCGAUCCAUCCAGUUCAAGAAAAAGAAACGACGAACACGCGGUGAGAGAUCAAAAUUAUUUUAAAGGCAGACAGAGUCAUUGACAAAAGGGUUUUAGGCCUAUCUCACAACGAGUGUGUUGUAGACAGACGUGUCUGGGUCACCUGUAGUAUUUUCUCAAGUUGCAUAUCCUGUGUCUCCUGAAAAUUCACAGGCCAACUUUGGAUAAAUGCAGUAGACUGAGUGGCCAGAGAAAGCAACGGUCACUGACUUGCCUUGGUUAUACGUGUGGUAUUUCUCCGUUUGUGCGCACCUUUAUAGGCGCGUACACUCCUUGCAUACAGAUACAGAUAACUGGAAUGGGUAGUGUUCAGAGUAAAGGGGAGAUGGGUGAAAACCAUGAGACUAAUAUCCUGCCACUAUUGUGUAAAUUUAUGUCAGAGCGUUAUCCUGGCAGUUUGAAUCAAAUACAAAAAUGGGUUGAAUUGGGGUUUCCUUCAAAAGGGAGUUUGAGUAAGAAUCAAUUGGAGCAGUUGGAAUUGCAACUGAGGGGGAAGGAGAAGAACGAUGCAGCUCAGCAUGCAGGCCUGUCGGGAAGAAAGCAGAAAAAGAAUGUGGUAUGUAAGGCAGAUUGGGAAGCUUUCAAUAUGUGGAAGUAUGAGUCGGAGAGAAGGGAGAGACAGAGGUUGGUAGCAUUUAAUUCAUUAAAGACCAAAGAUCCUACAAAAAGUUCUGAAACGUGUACCCCUUCUAACCCAAAAACACUUUAUCCUUGUUUUUAUGAGUUCCCGAGGAGAUUGGUGGACACGGAUCUGGACUCCCCCCCUCCCCUCACUGCUCCUCCAGCUCCCGCCUUCAUGAGCCCGCAGUCUCCUCAGCAGGAAGCAGCACAAACAACCUUUCCUCGGCUUGACAACAGCCCACCAGGAGGGAAGCCAGAUUCAACCUCCAACACCAGCCAGACGACCUUUUCACCUACUGUGACCCGCUCGCAGGCUCAACAAAGACGGGUCUUGCUCAGAGAAGGGAAAAAGACGUUGGUCGAUCCUGCAGCUUCUUUUCCAGUGGAGGGGGCGCAAGGGCCGAUGCUGGUUCUCAGACCCUGGUCAGAUACCGAUGUGACCAAGGCAAUGAGCCACGUCUGCAGUCCCAAGGACAAUCUUGCUAAGUGGGAGACUGAUUUUCAGCAAUUUGUCAGAAAAUACCAUCCUAGCAUGUCAGAGCUGCGGCAUCUGAUGUGCAGACUUCUGACACAUGACUAUCACAAGGUUCAGAGUGUGUUCAACACCACAAGAAUGGCUGCUCGCCUUAAAGAUCCUGAUUGUGAGCACGGCACAGAUAUGGACAUUAGAAGUGCUGUAGAUGCUCUCAUUGUGUUGGUAAAAGAACAAUUUCCUCUGAGACUGAACCUCCCCACCGUCACCUCUAUGACACAAGGGCCACAAGAAACAUGCAGCUCAUUCCUGGGACGCCUGACGACAGCUUUUGACACCCACAGUGGCCUUAAGCGACCUGAUCCAAUGGGGGCACAGCCCCUGAUGCCAUAUGAAGUCCAUCUGAAAGAACAUUUUAUAAGCAGAAUGAGACCUGAACUUAAACGGAUGGUGAAAAGAUCAUGUGUAACCUGGAAAACCUGUGCUCUUGCAGACAUCCUUCAGCACGCUGAACACGCUGAAGAUGAGUUACACAAGAAAAAGGACAAACUAAAAGGACAUUGGCGAGCAGAGUGUCCUGAGCACAUGAGGAUGAGACACAUCACACCUCUGACUGAGGAAGGCAGAGGGAGGGGCGGACCCCAGAGACGGAGCACCCCAUCACAGAGGAGAAAGUAACGCACCCUACACACACUCAUAAACGAAACAAAAUAGUUGUGCACACACGCACACACACACAUCUUAGAUUGCAUGUCGAGUUAUAUUCAGAAAUUCCCAUAAUUAACGUUGACGAUUUGCCAUCCGGUAACACUUGUAGUUGACUCAAGAGCAUUUGGCAUUGUGUUUGAGCUCAACAUCAGAUGGCACACACGAAAAAGAAAAAAAAAAGAAAAAAAAAGAAAAGAUUAAAUUGCAAUUAUUUUAGAUGUUUAACUACAGUCCAAAAACCCUCCUGUAUGUAUAUGGAUGAAAACUACUGGCAUACUUUGAUGCAUUAAUUACUCAUGACCAUGUAAAAUUGCGCAGACACAUACGGUAGAAGAUUACAUGCAUGAACAGUCAUUACAUUGCACAUUCCAUGUAAGCACAGGGCGAGAUAGAAGGUAUGUGGACGUAUGGCAUGACCAAAAGUUGGAGAAAGAGAGAUUAUGGUUGAAGCAUGUGUAUUGGUCAGAGGAGGCUGCUGCGGUGUCUGUAUCUCUCUCUCCUUCCCAAAGGAAAAAAAAAAAAAAAAGGUGUUCCUCGAUUCUACUCCACAUUUCAUUGGCUAAACCAUCUCACUGGGAUACAGGAUCUUGGUCCAUGGUUGCAUGGGUGUGUCUCGGCCUAAAGUUCAGACCGGGUGCAGAGGAUCCUCAUGAAGAGUAUAGCGCUGGUGGUAAUGUAGAUCACACUACGUUGAUCACACGAGUAAGUGUACACAGAACAGUAGAGCUCGUUGAGGAAUACACACAACACGCAGACUUGUAUAGCCUCCCAAACAAGAAGACAUAAGUUGGUUUUUUUUUUUUUUUUUUUUUCUUUUUUGGGCGCGGCUAUAAAUGGAUAGGAUGUCCAGUGGGUUACCACAGAAGUCAGGUGUAUUCCACAGAAGCGCUUAGGAACAUCUACAUAAUUUAUAACUCCCUGCAGGGUCGGCCCAUCUAAAUUAUGUGGCUGAUAUGAUGAUUUGCAGCCCAUCGAAGGAGGCUUGUAAAAUUGGUACAAUUUCGCUACUUAAACAUUUGGCAGAGAACAGAAAUAAGGCUUGCCUACGAAAAACUUAAAUUUGCUCUAGAACAAGUUAUCUGGGACAUGUGAUCACAGCUGAGGGCAAAAUCCCUCUCUCCCAAACGUAUUGGGGCAAUUCAAUUGGUACCAAAAACAAAAAAAACAAAAAAAAAAC
Molecule: long non-coding RNA, 3642 nt
Organism: Gasterosteus aculeatus aculeatus (three-spined stickleback)
Lineage: Eukaryota; Metazoa; Chordata; Actinopteri; Perciformes; Gasterosteidae
Source: Ensembl